GACGAACGCUGGCGGCGUGCUUAACACAUGCAAGUCGAACGGAAAGGCCCUGCUUGCAGGGUACUCGAGUGGCGAACGGGUGAGUAACACGUGGGUGAUCUGCCCUGCACUUCGGGAUAAGCUUGGGAAACUGGGUCUAAUACCGGAUAGGAACCAUCUUUAGUGUGGUGGUUGGAAAGUUUUUUCGGUGUAGGAUGAGCUCGCGGCCUAUCAGCUUGUUGGUGGGGUAAUGGCCUACCAAGGCGGCGACGGGUAGCCGGCCUGAGAGGGUGUACGGCCACAUUAGGACUGAGAUACGGCCCAGACUCCUACGGGAGGCAGCAGUGGGGAAUAUUGCACAAUGGGCGCAAGCCUGAUGCAGCGACGCCGCGUGGGGGAUGAAGGCCUUCGGGUUGUAAACUCCUUUCGCUAGGGACGAAGCUUUGUUGUGACGGUACCUAGAUAAGAAGCACCGGCUAACUACGUG
This 466-nucleotide ribosomal RNA is filed under the name uncultured bacterium. RNAcentral describes it as "partial 16S ribosomal RNA". It matches the Rfam family "Bacterial small subunit ribosomal RNA", at positions 28 to 507 of the family's 1533-position model. The record is from RNAcentral.